Molecule: ribosomal RNA, 253 nt
Filed under: uncultured bacterium
Lineage: Bacteria
Description: partial 16S ribosomal RNA
Rfam family: Bacterial small subunit ribosomal RNA
Source: RNAcentral
UACGUAGGGAGCGAGCGUUAUCCGGAUUUAUUGGGUGUAAAGGGUGCGUAGACGGGAAUACAAGUUGUUUGUGAAAUCCCUCGGCUUAACUGAGGAACUGCAAGCAAAACUAUAUUUCUUGAGUGCUGGAGAGGAAAGUGGAAUUCCUAGUGUAGCGGUGAAAUGCGUAGAUAUUAGGAGGAACACCAGUGGCGAAGGCGACUUUCUGGACAGUAACUGACGUUGAGGCACGAAAGUGUGGGGAGCAAACAGG